GGAGAGGUGCCGGAGUGGCCGAACGGGGUGGUCUCGAAAACCACUGAGCACUUAUGGUGUUCCUAGGGUUCGAAUCCCUACCUCUCCGCCA
This 91-nucleotide transfer RNA is filed under the name Lentisphaerota bacterium. RNAcentral's name for it is "Lentisphaerae bacterium (marine metagenome) tRNA-Ser". It matches the Rfam family "tRNA". From Rfam's summary of the family: Transfer RNA (tRNA) molecules are approximately 80 nucleotides in length. Their secondary structure includes four short double-helical elements and three loops (D, anti-codon, and T loops). The record is from RNAcentral. Lineage: Bacteria; Pseudomonadati; Lentisphaerota. RNAcentral also lists the same sequence under 1 other name.